CAACGAGGUGGAGCGGGCCCGCCGCUCCAGCGCGGCCCGCAACCGCUCGGUCGGCCGGUCCUGUCCGGCCGGCGGUGGGUUCGGGCCGGGCUCGUCGA
Molecule: transfer RNA, 98 nt
Filed under: Actinomadura madurae
Lineage: Bacteria; Bacillati; Actinomycetota; Actinomycetes; Streptosporangiales; Thermomonosporaceae
Description: tRNA-Ala(cgc)
Source: RNAcentral